UCUAAGUAUAAGCAAUUAUACAGCGAAACUGCGAAUGGCUCAUUAUAUAAGUUAUCGUUUAUUUGAUAAUACCUUACUACUUGGAUAACCGUGGUAAUUCUAGAGCUAAUACAUGCUGAAAAUCCCGACUUCGGAAGGGAUGUAUUUAUUAGAUUAAAAACCAAUGCCCCCCGGGGCUCCUUGGUGAAUCAUGAUAACUAGUCGAAUCGACAGGCCUUGUGCCGGCGAUGGCUCAUUCAAAUUUCUUCCCUAUCAACUUUCGAUGUUUGGGUAUUGGCCAAACAUGGUGGCAACGGGUAACGGAGGGUUAGGGCUCGACCCCGGAGAAGGAGCCUGAGAAACGGCUACUACAUCCAAGGAAGGCAGCAGGCGCGCAAAUUACCCAAUCCCGACACGGGGAGGUAGUGACAAUAAAUACUGAUACAGGGCUCUUUUGGGUCUUGUAAUCGGAAUGAGUACAAUUUAAAUCCCUUAACGAGGAACAAUUGGAGGGCAAGUCUGGUGCCAGCAGCCGCGGUAAUUCCAGCUCCAAUAGCGUAUAUUAAAGUUGUUGUGGUUAAAAAGCUCGUAGUUGAACCUUGGGCCUGGCUGGCCGGUCCGCCUCACCGCGUGUACUGGUCCGGCCGGGCCUUUCCCUCUGCGGAACCCCAUGCCCUUCACUGGGCGUGGCGGGGAAACAGGACUUUUACUUUGAAAAAAUUAGAGUGCUCAAGGCAGGCCUAUGCUCGAAUACAUUAGCAUGGAAUAAUGAAAUAGGACGUCGCGGUUCUAUUUUGUUGGUUUCUAGGACCGCCGUAAUGAUUAAUAGGGACAGUCGGGGGCGUCAGUAUUCCGUUGUCAGAGGUGAAAUUCUUGGAUUUACGGAAGACUAACUACUGCGAAAGCAUUCGCCAAGGAUGUUUUCAUUAAUCAGGAACGAAAGUUAGGGGAUCGAAGACGAUCAGAUACCGUCGUAGUCUUAACCAUAAACUAUGCCGACUAGGGAUCGGACGAUGUUACAUUUUUUGACGCGUUCGGCACCUUACGAGAAAUCAAAGUGCUUGGGCUCCAGGGGGAGUAUGGUCGCAAGGCUGAAACUUAAAGGAAUUG
Molecule: ribosomal RNA, 1089 nt
Filed under: Escovopsis sp. Esc10
Lineage: Eukaryota; Fungi; Ascomycota; Sordariomycetes; Hypocreales; Hypocreaceae
Description: SSU rRNA
Rfam family: Eukaryotic small subunit ribosomal RNA
Source: RNAcentral